UCCAGUCCCAAGCCACCUUUCACGUCCACCUAAAGAACACACCUCUUUUCCUCCUCCUCCUCCCGGUCUCUUGCCCCAGUUCUUUAAAGUAAGGGACAAGAACUGAAGGCCAUCCCGUGGCUGGAGAGAUCAGAGCUGACUGAACAACCAGACUCAUGAAAUUACCCCUACCCACCCCCUUCAAAAUGUACAUGGUUAUCAGAAGCACAUAGCAAAGUUCUGGAUAUAAUUUGCUCAUCAGAUAAACACUUUUUACGCACUCACUCUGCACCAGGUUUUAGAAGCAUGAGAAGGAAAGCUACGGUGUAGUUGGAUGGGGAACAGAGUCAGGUUUGCGGAGGACACAGACAUUCAAAUGAAGCUUUUUGAAAGAUCGCGGUGAAGUUGCGUCUUCAAGGACAAACAGGAAUUAGCAAUGUAAAGAGGGCAAAUAAGAACCCGUCUGAAGGCCCACAGCCAGGGCACCCGGACCGCGUGGGACCUGUGGUAACAGCACUCCGUUUUGUGUGGCGGGGUCAAAGUGCACAUGGGCAGCAUGAGACAAGGUUGAAGAGGCAGGAAGGGGCCAGCCAGACUCGAAAUAGCUUCUGAACUAAACAGGGUACUAAACAAAUUGGUAUUCCAAUCUUCAUUUCUAUCUUCUGCCAAAUACGCAAGUGUGAAUAACCCAGGUCGUCAGUUGUUCUUUCAAGUAAAAAUGGUGUUCUCUGAAAAAGAAGCUAGCUCAGCUCACAACUCAAACCACCUCACAAGAGCUUCUCCUUCGAGCAACCACUGCAGAAGUGCGCUACGUGAGCUUAAGAGUCCCUCUCAUGGGAUUUUAAAAGGAACGGUACUCUUGUUACUCUCCUACUCUUGGGAGUUAAAAAACUUGAGAGCUGAACAAAAUAUGGAAACCCUGUUAGAAACUCUGAGAUUGGAUAAUAGUAAAAUAAAAUCAAAACCCUUAAAAAAAACAAGUAUGGUCAGUGAUUGACCUAGAACAAAUAUAAUCAUUCUCACGGCUUCAUCAAGCACAUUCUUAAGUGAAUGGUAUUUUCUUUUCUUUUAACUCUGAGUGUGCAGCAGUAAAGAAUACGAUGACUACUCACACAGCUUGUGUCACUGCCCUGAUUCACGCUAAGGUGCCAGCAGUUUUACCACUACUGCAGUGCAAAUGACAGAACAAUGAAAAAAGCAAGUCUCGGUAUUCUUAUGAAAAUAGUUUUGCCCUCAUGGACUUCCAGAGAGGGUCUCAGGGGCCCCUAGGGGUCUGCAGACCAUACUGUGACAACUGCUGUUCCAGACGAAGGAUUAUGUCUUCACGACCUGCAUGUUUAAAACCCACUUGAAACUGAACAUGCCCAAAACGGAACUCUUGAUCCCCCAUGCCUUUUCCUAGUCUUCCCCGUCUCAGUUAGUGCAAAGAUCCUCCAUUCAGCAGCUCAGGUCACUAAUAUUGUGAAGUAAUCCUCAAUUCUUUUUUUCUCUUUGCCCCUCAUCCACUUCUUCAGCAAGUUCUAUCAGCAAUACCUCCAAAAUAUAUCCCAAAUUCAUCUGUCCCACUCCAUGUCCACUGAUAACACCCUACUCCCAAGCACUACCAGAUAAUGCAACAGCCUCCUGACUAGUUUCCCUGCUCCCAUUCUGCUCACCCUGUCUUCCAUCCAUUCUCCACCAGCAGCCAGUGGACUC
This is a non-coding RNA of Equus caballus (horse), 1674 nucleotides long. The record is from RefSeq and is a predicted model, not a curated record. Lineage: Eukaryota; Metazoa; Chordata; Mammalia; Perissodactyla; Equidae.